AAGUCGUAACAAGGUUUCCGUAGGUGAACCUGCGGAAGGAUCAUUACCAAAAAGUGAGAAAUCGCUUUCACAACCGUGCCAGUGGCCCUCUGGGCCGCUGCACCGGUGUCAACCCAUUGUGAACCAAAAAACCCUUUCGCUUCGGCAGCUGGGCCUGACCGCCUGUCAGCCUGCCGCUAGCACCAACCUUCAAACCUGUUUGUCAAACAUUGUCUGAUGACCAAAAUUUUCGAAUGAAAAUCAAAACUUUCAACAACGGAUCUCUUGGUUCCC
Molecule: unclassified non-coding RNA, 273 nt
Filed under: Orbiliaceae sp.
Lineage: Eukaryota; Fungi; Ascomycota; Orbiliomycetes; Orbiliales; Orbiliaceae
Also listed under: 1 other name
Description: partial contains small subunit ribosomal RNA, internal transcribed spacer 1, and 5.8S ribosomal RNA
Rfam family: Eukaryotic small subunit ribosomal RNA (bases 1-46)
Source: RNAcentral